RNAcentral lists this ribosomal RNA (253 nucleotides) under uncultured bacterium. RNAcentral's name for it is "partial 16S ribosomal RNA". It matches the Rfam family "Bacterial small subunit ribosomal RNA", at positions 524 to 776 of the family's 1533-position model. The record is from RNAcentral.
UACGAGGGGGGCGAGCGUUGUUCGGAAUUACUGGGCGUAAAGAGUGUGUAGGCGGUGCUCUAAGUUCGGUGUGAAAUCUCCCGGCUUAACUGGGAGGGUGCGCCGGAAACUGGAGUGCUCGAGCGUGGGAGAGGAAAGCGGAAUUCCUGGUGUAGCGGUGAAAUGCGUAGAUAUCAGGAGGAACACCUGCGGUGUAGACGGCUUUCUGGACCAUUGCUGACGCUGAGACACGAAAGCGUGGGUAGCAAACAGG